UUCGCCGAGGGGCGCUGCGACCGUGACAUGUGCGGAUCCUUCCGCAAAAGCCUGCACAUCCCUGUGCAGACUUUCCACAUAGUCCGGCCAGGCUCGGUGGAAUGAACCUGCAACGGCGCCCGGAUACC
RNAcentral lists this non-coding RNA (128 nucleotides) under Pseudoxanthomonas spadix. RNAcentral's name for it is "Pseudoxanthomonas sp. SAH sequence". It matches the Rfam family "SAH (S-adenosyl-L-homocysteine) riboswitch aptamer". RNAcentral also lists the same sequence under 1 other name. Lineage: Bacteria; Pseudomonadati; Pseudomonadota; Gammaproteobacteria; Lysobacterales; Lysobacteraceae. The record is from RNAcentral.